RNAcentral lists this ribosomal RNA (301 nucleotides) under uncultured bacterium. RNAcentral's name for it is "partial 16S ribosomal RNA". It matches the Rfam family "Bacterial small subunit ribosomal RNA", at positions 509 to 807 of the family's 1533-position model. The record is from RNAcentral.
CAGUAGCCACGGUAAUACGAAGGGGGCUAGCGUUGUUCGGAUUUACUGGGCGUAAAGGGCGCGUAGGCGGGCUGAUAAGUCGGGGGUGAAAUCCCAAGGCUCAACCUUGGAACUGCCUUUGAUACUGUUGGUCUUGAGUCCGGGAGAGGUGAGUGGAACUGCGAGUGUAGAGGUGAAAUUCGUAGAUAUUCGCAAGAACACCAGUGGCGAAGGCGGCUCACUGGCCCGGAACUGACGCUGAGGCGCGAAAGCGUGGGGAGCAAACAGGAUUAGAUACCCGCGUAGUCCCUGUCUCUUAUAC